AUACGGAGGAUCCGAGCGUUAUCCGGAUUUAUUGGGUUUAAAGGGUGCGUAGGCGGACGAUUAAGUCAGCUGUGAAAUGACCGCGCUUAACGCGGGAAGUGCAGUUGAUACUGGUUGUCUGGAGUGCCGUUGCCGUGGGAGGAAUGGGCAGGGUAGCGGUGAAAUGCAUAGAUAUUGCCCAGAACACCGAUUGCGAAGGCAUCUCACGAAUCCGAGACUGACGCUGAGGCACGAAAGCGUGGGGAUCAAACAGGAUUAGAUACCCUGGUAGUCCACGCAGUAAACGAUGAUAACUAACCGUCGGCGAUAGAAUGUCGGUGGCCAAGCGAAAGCGAUAAGUUAUCCACCUGGGGAGUACGUUCGCAAGGUUGAAACUCAAAUGAAUUGACGGGG
Molecule: ribosomal RNA, 393 nt
Filed under: uncultured bacterium
Lineage: Bacteria
Description: partial 16S ribosomal RNA
Rfam family: Bacterial small subunit ribosomal RNA
Source: RNAcentral